Molecule: non-coding RNA, 95 nt
Organism: Marasmius fiardii PR-910
Lineage: Eukaryota; Fungi; Basidiomycota; Agaricomycetes; Agaricales; Marasmiaceae
Source: the annotation of a GenBank genome assembly
GCCGGUUUAGCUUAGUGGUAGAGCGUUGCACUUGUAUUACUCCAUUACGAGCGAAUACUAUGCAAAGGUCGGUUGUUCAAUCCAGCCAACCGGCA